AAUGAGUGAUGGCGUGCCUUUUGUAGAAUGAACCGGCGAGUUACGAUUGCAUGCGAGGUUAAGUCGAAGAGACGGAGCCGCAGCGAAAGCGAGUCUGAAUAGGGCGAAUGAGUAUGUAGUCGUAGACCCGAAACCAUGUGAUCUACCCAUGUCCAGGUUGAAGGUGCGGUAAAACGCACUGGAGGACCGAACCCACGUACGUUGAAAAGUGCGGGGAUGAGGUGUGGGUAGCGGAGAAAUUCCAAACGAACUUGGAGAUAGCUGGUUCUCUCCGAAAUAGCUUUAGGGCUAGCCUCGGAAUUGAGAAUGAUGGAGGUAGAGCACUGUUUGGACUAGGGGCCCAUCUCGGGUUACCGAAUUCAGAUAAACUCCGAAUGCCAUUCAUUUAUAUCCGGGAGUCAGACUGCGAGUGAUAAGAUCCGUAGUCGAAAGGGAAACAGCCCAGACCACCAGCUAAGGUCCCAAAAUAUAUGUUAAGUGGAAAAGGAUGUGGGGUUGCACAGACAACUAGGAUGUUGGCUUAGAAGCAGCCACCAUUUAAAGAGUGCGUAAUAGCUCACUAGUCGAGUGACCCUGCGCCGAAAAUGUACCGGGGCUAAACAUAUUACCGAAGCUGUGGACUACACCAUUAGGUGUAGUGGUAGGAGAGCGUUCUAAGGGCGUUGAAGGUCGAUCGUGAGGACGGCUGGAGCGCUUAGAAGUGAGAAUGCCGGUAUGAGUAGCGAAAGACAGGUGAGAAUCCUGUCCACCGUAUGACUAAGGUUUCCUGGGGAAGGCUCGUCCGCCCAGGGUUAGUCGGGACCUAAGCCGAGGCCGAUAGGCGUAGGCGAUGGACAACAGGUUGAUAUUCCUGUACCAGUUGUUUUUGUUUGAGCAAUGGAGGGACGCAGUAGGCUAAGGAAUGCAUGCGAUUGGAAGUGCAUGUCCAAGCAAUGAGUCUUGAGUAGAGUUAAAUGCUUUACUCUCUAAGGACAAGUUGUGACGGGGAGCGAAAUAAUAGUAGCGAAGUUCCUGAUGUCACACUGCCAAGAAAAGCUUCUAGUGAGAAAACAACUGCCCGUACCGUAAACCGACACAGGUAGUCGAGGAGAGUAUCCUAAGGUGAGCGAGCGAACUCUCGUUAAGGAACUCGGCAAAAUGACCCCGUAAC
This 1150-nucleotide ribosomal RNA is filed under the name Enterococcus faecalis. RNAcentral's name for it is "partial 23S ribosomal RNA". It matches the Rfam family "Bacterial large subunit ribosomal RNA", at positions 588 to 1734 of the family's 2925-position model. The record is from RNAcentral. Lineage: Bacteria; Bacillati; Bacillota; Bacilli; Lactobacillales; Enterococcaceae.